GUUAAGUUUUUAUAUGUUACAUAUAGUUUUUAUUAUUUGCUUCCGAUUGCAGAAAAGUCAUAUCGUACAUGUCAAAAUAAAAAUUCUAUCGGGAAGAUAAUGUGUUUAGCCGUCAUGUCCCGUCCAAGAUUUGAUAGAGAAGGAAAUAAUUGUUUUGAGAAAAAUAAGAAUGUUUCCAUUUGUUACAAUGCAAAAGUCUUAAAGACAAAGUAGAAAUCGAGAGGAGGGUACUUUGGAGUUAAAGCCGACGACAUCCAUCAAGAGAGAAAAAAUAAAGGAGUUUUUAACUGAAAAAUUUGUACCAAGAAUUCAUUAAAGAUGGCCACAAGAUGAUUUUGGAAAACCUAU
Molecule: small RNA, 348 nt
Filed under: Arabidopsis thaliana (thale cress)
Lineage: Eukaryota; Viridiplantae; Streptophyta; Magnoliopsida; Brassicales; Brassicaceae
Description: ATSL044310
Source: RNAcentral